Molecule: ribosomal RNA, 253 nt
Filed under: uncultured bacterium
Lineage: Bacteria
Also listed under: 1 other name
Description: partial 16S ribosomal RNA
Rfam family: Bacterial small subunit ribosomal RNA
Source: RNAcentral
UACAGAGGGUGCGAGCGUUAAUCGGAAUUACUGGGCGUAAAGCGCACGUAGGCGGCGCACUAAGUUGGAUGUGAAAUCCCCGGGCUUAACUUGGGAAUUGCAUUCAAGACUGGUGUGCUGGAGUGUGGGAGAGAGAAGUGGAAUUCCAGGAGUAGCGGUGAAAUGCGUAGAUACCUGGAGGAACAUCAGUGGCGAAGGCGGCUUCUUGGCCCAACACUGACGCUGAGGUGCGAAAGCGUGGGGAUCAAACAGG